Molecule: ribosomal RNA, 276 nt
Filed under: unidentified eubacterium U63025
Lineage: Bacteria; Bacillati; Bacillota; Bacilli; Caryophanales
Description: partial 16S ribosomal RNA
Rfam family: Bacterial small subunit ribosomal RNA
Source: RNAcentral
UCGAGCGAGGGGCUUGCUCCCUGAUGUUAGCGGCGGACGGGUGAGUAACACGUGGGCAACCUGCCCUAUAGCUUGGGAUAACUCCGGGAAACCGGGGCUAAUACCGAAUAACACAAUUUAGCUCCUGCUAGAUUGUUGAAAGAUGGCUUCUGCUAUCGCUAUAGGAUGGGCCGNCGCAUUAGCUAGUUGGUAGGGGUAACGGCAUCCAAGGCGACGAGAUGCUAGCCGACUGAGAGGGUGAUCGCACACUGGACUGAGACACGGUCAGACUCUCAG